CUUUCCCUCCUAAAAACCCUCACCACAUGCCAAAAACGCCAUUCUCUCCCCACUUCUCUUCAUCUCCACCGCUGAUUGCUCACAUGUCUCCAUCUCCACCGAUCAUCGAUCUAUCUACACCGGCCGCCAACCACACACGCGAUUCUCUCUAUUUUCAGAAUUUGGCAUUUCAAUUCUCUCCGUUCUCAUCACAGCGACCCACAAAUGCACAGUUGAUGGCAAUUCUCAUCACAACCGAUGACAAUUCUCAUCACAUCACAGCGACGCACAGCCCAUGUGAUUCUCAGAUCUUCACCUUCGCUGUAGUUUGUUCUAUUUGCUGGUAAAAGCUUUAAGGUCGAUGAAAAAGGAGGUGGAAGUUACUAGUGAACCAUCCAAUCUACCAAUACAAUUGAAGUAUAUUCUCAGAUAUGCUGAAAGGGUAAUGGUUGAGGGGUCUUGUUUUUCCUUUCAACUAUCUCCUGAGCUAUUUGGUAUACCUCGAAAGAGUGACGUUUUGCAAGAAGAUGUCAUUGAUUUUUGCAACAUGCAAAAAGUAAAGACUUUAUCAAUGGUGGCUUAUAUUACGUAUUUCUACACACUCAUUAUUGAUUUGAAGAAGGUUUCAAAGUACGUUUUUGUAGAUCCAUCUCUUAUUCCAGCUAGUCAUAGUACUAUGAGAUUAGAGCUCGAAACAUCUGUAGUAAAUUAAUGACUUCCAAACAAGUUCAAUUGGUAAUUGCUCCUUAUAAUCCCAGGUAAGUAUAAUUUUUAUCAAUUCAAACUUGCAUUAGUACCAAAAUACUAAUUACUUGCAUGCAUAUAUAUAUUUCAUUUAGUGAUCAUUGGUCAUUAGUAGUCAUUAAUGCAUAUGAUGAUGUAGUGUACCAUCUUGACUUAUUGAGAACAAGCUCCCGAGAUGAUAUCAAAUACGUAACGAAUAUGUAAGUUAACUUUGUUUAUGUUUCUUUUUUUUAAUCGCUAAAAAAAUUAGUUCAUUUUGAUUUAUACUAUACUUUGGAAAAUCUAGGGCCUUGACGAUCUUCUAAUAUUAAAAGAAUUUACAAAAUCAGAAAAACAACAUUUUAGAAAAUGGUAAAGGUAAAUAUAUUUAUAAAAUUAUUUACAACUGAAUUUUGCACUUAAUCUAAUAUGCAUUGUUAUUUGGUUAUGUUAUAGUCUCCUUUACAAGUAGGUACUGUUGAAUGUGGAUAUUAUGUCAUGAGAUAUAUGCGCGAAAUCGUGAGUAAGGACACAAACAUUAUUAUUGAUGCGGUAUGUUUUUAAACUACUGAUAUUGUAACAUUAUAAAUAGUAUAAUAUGACUAAUUUUUAGUUUUAACAAAGUAUCUACUCGACUUUUUAUGUUUUAUAGAUUGAUCCAAGAAACUCAUACUCACAACUUGAAUUGGAUGAAGUAUGAGUGGAAUGGGCUGAAUUUUUAGCUCGGUACAUAUGAUAGACACACCUAGAUAUGAUCUUAAUUUUGUAAAUGGCUAACAUAUGGGAAUGCCCAUAACCUUUUUUGUGUAAAUGUUUUGUUCAUAGUCAUCAUGCUUAUAUACAUGAGGCAAUAGAUGCAAGUGGAUAGACUUUAGUUUUGGUAUAGAA
This is a long non-coding RNA of Cucumis melo (muskmelon), 1590 nucleotides long. RefSeq lists it as uncharacterized. The transcript has 3 exons. The record is from RefSeq and is a predicted model, not a curated record. Lineage: Eukaryota; Viridiplantae; Streptophyta; Magnoliopsida; Cucurbitales; Cucurbitaceae.